GAUGAAGAACGCAGCGAAAUGCGAUAAGUAGUGUGAAUUGCAGAAUUCAGUGAAUCAUCGAAUCUUUGAACGCACAUUGCGCCCCUUGGUAUUCCAUGGGGCAUGCCUGUUCGAGCGUCAUUUACACCCUCAAGCUCUGCUUGGUGUUGGGCGUCUGUCCCGCUGCUUUGCGCGGACUCGCCUCAAAGGUAUUGGCAGCGAUCAUGCCAGCUUCUCGCGCAGCACAUUGCGCUUCUUGAAGUUCUGGUGGAUCAGCGUCCAUUAAGCCUACCUUCAUGACUUGACCUCGGAUCAGGUAGGGAUACCCGCUGAACUUAAGCAUAUCAAUAAGCGGAGGA
RNAcentral lists this unclassified non-coding RNA (338 nucleotides) under soil metagenome. Its description in RNAcentral is "partial contains 5.8S ribosomal RNA, internal transcribed spacer 2, and large subunit ribosomal RNA". The stretch from base 1 to 120 matches the Rfam family "5.8S ribosomal RNA", at positions 35 to 154 of the family's 154-position model. The record is from RNAcentral.